RNAcentral lists this long non-coding RNA (1566 nucleotides) under Homo sapiens (human). RNAcentral describes it as "HSALNT0206192". Lineage: Eukaryota; Metazoa; Chordata; Mammalia; Primates; Hominidae. The record is from RNAcentral.
CUGUCGCUCAGGCUGGAGUGCAGUGACGUGAUCUUAGUUCACCAAAACCUCCCCUUCCUGGGUUCAAGUGAUUCUCAUGCCUCAGCCUCCCCAGUAACUGGGACUACAGGUCUUGAAUGCAGGAUGUGAAGCAGGUUCACUGUGUACUACUUACCAACUUGUUUGAGUCCAUUGAGAGCAAAAGUGCUUACACACAACACAUUACAGGAAGCGGGUUUUAUUACUUACAGUGCUCCUGGAAAUUAUUCUAGAGGACUGCGUAUUUAGAGACCAAAACUGGAUUUCUUUAAAAUAAUUUAGUCUAUGACAACGUCACUGGACUCAGAUUUCCUUUUACUGUAUUUCUCAAGGAAACAUUAUCAUUUUGUGAUUCAAAUUGUUUGUCUAGGAUUUGCCUUUAUUAUUCCUUUAUUUUUUUUUAAUCUAGAGAUAUAUUACAUAUGAAUUUUGAAACUGUUUACAUUUUGUUCUCUUAAAGUUUUUACUUUAAAAAAUCUCAACCAAGAAUAGGGUUUACAAAAGUGAGAGACCAGUUUGCAACACAUAGCUAGAAAUACAGGAAACAGAGUGAGCACGCUGUAGUGAAAUCUCAAAUCCUCAGGGAAUGAAGCUGGCAAUUUUGUCUUCGGAAUGACUCUUCCUAUGGGGCUUAAUCCUAUCAGCAAAGGUGUCUUACAGAUGAAAGCCCUACAGGAAGAAAGAGCAAAACCACUUUGCAGUGAUAUUUGUCUGAACUUCCCUGUAAGUAUUAAGGAUUUUGAGAGUUUCCCCAUAGUGAAUGCCUUGGGUAGCUGAGGGAGGAGGCUGAAUUCCCCAUUCCUCCGUGUUGCCUUUUAUAACCAUAGUAAUGCUCUCUAGUCUCAUAUGGCAUUGAGUGCUGAGGCAUAGUCACUAUUACUGUGUUAUGGCACUAGGUCCCAUAACAAUCCAUGAACAUUCCAGUAUGCAUUGAUAGGGGUGGAGAGUAUGAGUGAACCCCUUAGUUCACUCAGCAUCUAGUAAGCAUUUACUGUGUUCAGUUACCCACCACAAAGAAGUAUAAAGCUGGCUGUUGUCCUCAGGUAUUUUAUAGACACUAGUAUCCACUUUUGCAUGAAUGAUACCAGGCAUUGGUAUUGUAAUGUUUAUGCUAAACCCCUAUUUCAGCCUUAACUUACAUUUCUAAGUAAAAAACCUGAAAUUACUUAUAACAGCAACAAAACUAUAACUAAAAUGGGAAUAACAGUAAAAAUAAAUAGUGUUUAGCACUUACCAAUAAAUAUUUAGCAACCAUGUAAGUGUUUUUUUAAUAUCAGGUAGUUUCAUAUUAUUCCAUUUUAUAGCUCAGGAAACUCAACCCUAGAGAAAUUAUAUAACUCACCUAGAGAGACACAGGUAGUGCACAGCAGAGCUGAAAUGUUAGUCUUUGUCAGGUGGGCUCAGGGCCAGAAUGAUUGGUCUGGCUGUGUGAUCUUGGGGAAAUUGAUUGAUUGGUUGAUUUAUGAGACCGAGUCUAGCUCUGCUGCACAGGCUGGAAUGCGGUCGCAUAAUCUUGGCUCACUGUGACCUCCGCCUCCCAGGCUCAAG